GCGGUAAUACCUUGUAGGAAACACCGGUUCUCUUCUGAUCACCGAGGUUAAGCAAUGUCGUGCGUGGGUGACUGGCUGCGAAUACCGGGUGUCAAGUCC
This 99-nucleotide ribosomal RNA is filed under the name Fasciola gigantica. Lineage: Eukaryota; Metazoa; Platyhelminthes; Trematoda; Plagiorchiida; Fasciolidae. The record is from RNAcentral.